RNAcentral lists this ribosomal RNA (465 nucleotides) under uncultured bacterium. Its description in RNAcentral is "partial 16S ribosomal RNA". It matches the Rfam family "Bacterial small subunit ribosomal RNA", at positions 29 to 507 of the family's 1533-position model. The record is from RNAcentral.
ACGAACGCUGGCGGCGUGCUUAACACAUGCAAGUCGAACGGAAAGGCCCUGCUUGCCGGGUACUCGAGUGGCGAACGGGUGAGUAACACGUGGGUGAUCUGCCCUGCACUUCGGGAUAAGCUUGGGAAACUGGGUCUAAUACCGGAUAGGAGCCAUCUUUAGUGUGGUGGUUGGAAAGUUUUUUCGGUGUAGGAUGAGCUCGCGGCCUAUCAGCUUGUUGGUGGGGUAAUGGCCUACCAAGGCGGCGACGGGUAGCCGGCCUGAGAGGGUGUACGGCCACAUUGGGACUGAGAUACGGCCCAGACUCCUACGGGAGGCAGCAGUGGGGAAUAUUGCACAAUGGGCGCAAGCCUGAUGCAGCGACGCCGCGUGGGGGAUGAAGGCCUUCGGGUUGUAAACUCCUUUCGCUAGGGACGAAGCUUUUUUGUGACGGUACCUAGAGAAGAAGCACCGGCUAACUACGUG